GACGAACGCUGGCGGCGUGCUUAACACAUGCAAGUCGAACGGAAAGGCCCUGCUUUUGUGGGGUGCUCGAGUGGCGAACGGGUGAGUAACACGUGAGUAACCUGCCCUUGACUUUGGGAUAACUUCAGGAAACUGGGGCUCAUACCGGAUAGGAGUUCCCGCUGAAUGGUGGGGGUUGGAAAGUUUAGGCGGUUGGGGAUGGACUCGCGGCCUAUCAGGUUGUUGGUUGGGUAGUGGCUUACCAUGGCCUUGACGGGUAGCCGGCCUGAGAGGGGGACCUGCCAAAUUGGGACUGAAAUGCGACCCAGACUCCUACGGGAGGCAGCGGUGGGGAAUAUUACACAAUGGGCUGAAGCCUGAUGCAGCAACGCCGCGUGCGGUAUGACAGCAAUCGGGUUGGAAACCGCUGUCGCCUGUGACGAAGCGUGAGUGACGGUAAUGGGUAAAGAAGCACCGGCUAACUACGUG
This 468-nucleotide ribosomal RNA is filed under the name uncultured bacterium. Its description in RNAcentral is "partial 16S ribosomal RNA". It matches the Rfam family "Bacterial small subunit ribosomal RNA", at positions 28 to 507 of the family's 1533-position model. The record is from RNAcentral.